This 70-nucleotide transfer RNA is filed under the name Plethodon vandykei (Washington salamander). RNAcentral's name for it is "tRNA-His". It matches the Rfam family "tRNA". Rfam says of the family: Transfer RNA (tRNA) molecules are approximately 80 nucleotides in length. Their secondary structure includes four short double-helical elements and three loops (D, anti-codon, and T loops). The record is from RNAcentral. Lineage: Eukaryota; Metazoa; Chordata; Amphibia; Caudata; Plethodontidae.
GUAUAUAUAAUUUAAUUUAAAAUACUAGGCCGUGGUCCUAGAAACGAAAGUUAAACCCUUUAUAUAAACC